This 253-nucleotide ribosomal RNA is filed under the name uncultured bacterium. Its description in RNAcentral is "partial 16S ribosomal RNA". It matches the Rfam family "Bacterial small subunit ribosomal RNA", at positions 524 to 776 of the family's 1533-position model. The record is from RNAcentral.
UACGAAGGGGGCUAGCGUUGCUCGGAAUCACUGGGCGUAAAGCGCACGUAGGCGGAUCUUUAAGUCAGGGGUGAAAUCCCAAGGCUCAACCUUGGAACUGCCUUUGAUACUGGGGAUCUCGAGUCCGGAAGAGGUUGGUGGAACUCCGAGUGUAGAGGUGAAAUUCGUAGAUAUUCGGAAGAACACCAGUGGCGAAGGCGACUUACUGGACACAUAUUGACGCUGAGGUGCGAAAGCGUGGGGAGCAAACAGG